AACGCGAAGAACCUUACCAAGGCUUGACAUGCCGAGGACGGCCGGUGAAAGCCGGUUUCCCCGCAAGGGGUCUCGGUGCAGAUGCUGCAUGGCUGUCGUCAGCUCGUGCCGUGAGAUGUUGGGUUAAGUCCCGCAACGAGCGCAACCCUUGUUCUUAGUUGCCAGCAUUUAGUUGGGCACUCUAAGGAGACUGCCGGUGACAAACCGGAGGAAGGUGGGGAUGACGUCAAAUCAUCAUGCCCCUUAUGACCUGGGCUACACACGUGCUACAAUGGAUGGUACAAAGGGCUGCAAGACCGCGAGGUUUAGCCAAUCCCAUAAAACCAUUCUCAGUUCGGAUUGUAGGCUGCAACUCGCCUACAUGAAGCCGGAAUCGCUAGUAAUCGCGGAUCAGCAUGCCGCGGUGAAUACGUUCCCGGGCCUUGUACACACCGCUAGUC
Molecule: ribosomal RNA, 440 nt
Filed under: uncultured bacterium
Lineage: Bacteria
Description: bacterial SSU rRNA
Rfam family: Bacterial small subunit ribosomal RNA
Source: RNAcentral